Odocoileus virginianus texanus is the source of this 1306-nucleotide non-coding RNA. NCBI's taxonomy places the organism in Eukaryota, Metazoa, Chordata, Mammalia, Artiodactyla, Cervidae. The record is from RefSeq and is a predicted model, not a curated record.
UAACAUGUUAUGAUGGUAUGUAAUAUUAGCCAAGGAAAACUCUAAGUCUGAAAAUAGCAGUCUUCAUUAGUUUAUUAGUUUUCAAGGUGUUGCAAUAUGUUGAAGUUUACAUUGACCAGUUUAAUGAAUUUUGGACUAUAUUAUCUAAUUUCAGCUACUCUACCAACACAAAGUAGACGAGAAACUCAAAUAUAAUUCUACAAAGAAGUCAGAUUGAAGCUAAUACUGAUAAGGCAAAGAAAAAAAUAGAAGAGCUGACACAUCAUUCUAGUGUUUCCACAGACGUGCAGCUCCAGUUACAAGAAGGCAGUUUCCACAUGGGGCACACAGGAUGGAUUAUCUGCACUUUGAGGAUGACAGCCGUGGAUGGUGGUUUGACAUGGAUAUGGUGAUCAUCUAUAUUUAUUCAGUGAACUGGGUCAUUGGGUUCAUUGUUUUCUGCUUUCUUUGCUAUUUUUUCUUUCCAUUUUAGGAAUUUUCAUACCUUAAUACUGUUGCACAAUUACAAAUGAUGUAGAUAACAAUACUUAAACAUUUUUAAAAUGUGCUUUGAAGUUUUUAUAAUGUAUUAUAUAAAAUGUUGGUGUUUAUAGAAAAUAUGAGAAUGGAUUUAUUUAUGAAUGUUUCAUGUAACAAACUAAACUUGAUUUAAGAUCUAAUCUAUUAGCACUUAGCAACAAUACACUAUUAAUUUUACAGUUCUCCUUGAUUUGGGAUUUGUGGUUCUAAUUUUACAAUGUCACUUUUACACAUAUUGUAAAGAUGAGGUUUUCCCUCCACUUAAAAAUACUAAAAACACAAAAUGAAAUGAUAAUGAGUAGAUAUUAUCUUUAAUUAUGAACUAUUUAGUAAUCAUCACCUAUUCUCAGGCAAGUUAUAUACAUUAAAGAUAAACCAUCUUCUCUGGGAACUAAUCUAGCAGGGUAUAUUCAGUUUUGCUUUCCAGUGAUCUCUAUGUCCUUCAUUUCCUUUCUAUUACUGACACAGCUGACUAUACUUUUUUUUUAACAGACCUAAUCAUAUCAUUAGUGCAGCAUUUUAAACUAUUACAAGAAUAGAAUAGUAAACACAAACAAAAAAAAAGGAAAAAUAAAAAAAUAAAACUGAGACUAAUUCACACCAACAAAGACUUAGAAAACUAUAUUAACACUUUUCCAAUUGCAGGAUUACUCACCAGAAGAAAUUAAAAAGUUACUGACUUUCAGAGCAAUGCAUGUCUAAACUGUAAUUAAUUUAGUGAUUCUUUUAACUUGGAGGUUGUCAAAUAUAUUGUAAAUGUACAAUAAAGAGUGGCUUUUAAAUUUUU